Molecule: ribosomal RNA, 935 nt
Filed under: uncultured archaeon
Lineage: Archaea
Description: bacterial SSU rRNA
Rfam family: Archaeal small subunit ribosomal RNA
Source: RNAcentral
GAUCCUGCCGGACCCUACUGCUAUCAGGAUGAGACUAAGCCAUGCGAGUCGUGCGCCUCCUAGCCAUGUUGGAGGCGCGGCGUACGGCUCAGUAACACGUAGUCAACCUGCCCUUGGGACGAGAAUAACCUCGGGAAACUGAGGCUAAUACUCGAUAUGUGGAAGUGCCUGGAAUGGUCUUCCGCUGAAAAGGCGCAUGAUACAUGCAUCAUGCGUUGCCCAAGGAUGGGACUGCGGCCGAUCAGGUAGUUGGUAAGGUAACGGCUUACCAAGCCUAUAACCGGUACGGGCCCUGAGAGGGGAAGCCCGGAGAUGGGAACUGAGACAAGGUCCUAGGUCCUACGGGGCGCAGCAGGCGCGAAAACUUCGCAAUGCGCGAAAGCGCGACGAGGUUAUCCUGAGUGCCGUCUGAAAGGAUGGCUUUUCAUCGACGUAAACAGUCGGUGGAAUAAGGGGAGGGCAAGACUGGUGUCAGCCGCCGCGGUAAUACCAGCCCCCCGAGUGGUAGGGACAGUUAUUUGGCCUAAAGCGUUCGUAGCCUGCUCGGUAGGUCCUCCGUCAAAUCUGACGAUCCCAUCGUCAGACUGCGGGGGAUACCGCCGGGCUAGGAGGCGGGAGAGGUCGACGGUAGUCCAGGGGUAGGGGUGGAAUCCUAUAAUCCUUGGAGGACCACCAGUGGCGAAGGCGGUCGACCAGAACGCGCUCGACGGUGAGGGACGAAAGCUGGGGGAGCAAACCGGAUUAGAUACCCGGGUAGUCCCAGCUGUAAACGAUGCGAGCUAGGUGUUGGAGCGGCUACGGGCCGCUCCAGUGCCUCAGGGAAGCCAUUAAGCUCGCCGCCUGGGGAGUACGGUCGCAAGGCUGAAACUUAAAGGAAUUGGCGGGGGAGCACCACAAGGCGUGAAGGCUGCGGUUUAAUUGGAGUCAACGCCGGG